GGACCAGAUGACCCACUGUGGUCCCUUCCAACCUUACCCAUUCUGUGAUUCCGUGACCUUCUGCUACUUGUAAGCUUGUAGCAUCCAUAACAUCCCAUUGCAGGGAGUUCCGGCACAUCACUGUAUGUAUGAACAAUCACUUUCUUUGCUUUCCUGACAUUUGUGCCACUGUCUGAUGACCCACCCCUGCUUCUUGCUUUGGAAAGUAAGAAGUAAAACAAUUUUGCCUUCUCUAUGCCAGUCACCACUCUGUGGGCUCCACAAGAUCCCCUUUCAGUCUGGUAAGGCUUCUCUUGCAAAUUGACAAGUCCAAGUGAAAUCUUGUUCUUUCCAAGGAAGUGUUUGUUGUUAUUCUAUGAACUUUACCAUUUCUGCUAUUCCUGUUUGUAGUGGUGGGACUGGAACUGCAUAUAGCGUUCCUGACAGAAGCACAGUGGGUUUAUAAAGUGACGUAACAAUAUUCCCUGCCUUGUUCUCAAUAUUGUCACUAAAUGUUUUUAGUAUUCAAUGUGGUGUUGAUCUCUGCUAAGCUGCUGUUGUUCUACAAAUAACAUUAAACUUCCCAGUUCUCACUCCUGCAGUUUGGUGGUUAGUUCAGACACCUUUAUUCCACAUGUGAUGUAGGACUGUCUUUUCCCCAUGUGCAUAAUUUUACAUGUGUCUGUCUUCACGAUCAUCGGUCGUUUUCCUGCCAGGCACUGAGGCCUGUGUUCAGUUGCCCCCAUGUGGGUGUCCAGCACUAUCCCAGAUGACACAGAGGGUCUGACUGAGGCUUUGAGGAGCCUUGUGGGUCUCCAUCGAGUCCUGUGCCAGAGCCAAUAAGGUCUCUCCAAUGAGUGCAGGUGAUUGAGCCCCAAAUAGUGAAAGGUCUUUCUGCAGUUCUCAGCCACACCUUUUCUUUCCCUCCAUGAAUAACACGAUACCAUCAGCAAUCUUUUUCUUGUCACUCCUUGCCUUAUUCAAAUUGUUUAUGAAUAAGCACAGAGAUGUGAAGGUGCAUUAGUGACCUCUUACUGUGAAAACUGACCAUUUACUUAGUCUUUUAACUGCAUUUUAAUCCAUGCUGGGCUUUUCUCUCUUAUCCCGUGGUUGCUUAGUCUCCUUAACAGCCUUUGGCAAGAAAGUCUUGAAAGUGAUUCAGAAAUCUCAGGAAACUGUAUCUCUGCAAUCCCUCUUAUCCAAGUGCUUGCUGACACAUUUAGAAAACUUCAUACUGAGUGUAUAAGGCAAGACUUCUCUUUGGAAGAAAAAUGUCAACAAAACCCUUGUUGAUCUUUCCCUGGUAAAUCAUAUCUGUCCCUGUGUGCACUAAUAUAUAUGUAUUUGUACUAGUCUGUGCAGAAUAGGCAUCAGUUUUAAUGGUCUGUAGUUCCCAUCUUUCCCCUAGAAACAAUUCUAAGAAAUAAUGUAACAUUUUAUGCAAUCCACUUCUUAGAUGCCAAGAAAGUUUUAAGCAAGAAUUUAUACCACUAUUAGCAUUUCAGUUACUGCAUCCUUGAGAUUCCUGGAUGAACAGAAUCUGUUGAGAAUCUGUCACUGUUCAUUUUGUGUAUUCUUAACUCAUGAACCUCUUUGUAAGUCAUCAACUCAUUUUGAAACAGAUCAGGGAGAAGUCCAAUGAUGAAGUGUUCCAGCAGCAGAACACAGACUCGGGAAGUUGUCUUGGGUUUUCCACCAUGGCCUUAACAUCUCCCAGUACUAUUUUUGUAGCCGUUUCAGUUGAUGGGUUUUAGCUUCUGGCACCUGGUACACUAAGAAUAUUGAAAUAGUAUCAGAUCCUCUUGAAAGUGAUUUAUUAAUGGGCUUUAUGCAUUUUAUGACUUCGAUGUAAUUCAUGAGAUCUAUCAUAAUGCUCUGAAUUGGAGAUUUCUUUGGGGGGUUUUGUGUCUUAUUCCUUUGUAUGGGAUUAUUCCAUGCUUGUGCUUAAUUUUCUUAUCUCUUUCUGGUCUUGGUUGGUUUUUUUUAGAUAUAAUAUACCCAUUCUGAAGUAUAUAAUAUAUAACUUUUUCUCUACCCAUUUCUUGAUUCUAGUGACUUUCCUAUUUUUUGACCUCUGCUGAGUAUAGAAUUGAGGUUUCAGGUAAGUGAUGCUUCACCAGCUUUCCAAAAUGUCUUUCCAAAUUAGUAACAACUAAAUAAAUGCUCAUCAUUGCAUUUGGUGAAGGUUAUACUUGGCAUUUAUAAACAUCAAUUUUCAUUUGCCAUUUUAUCAGAAGCGAUUUAAUAUUGCAGGAUCUUUCUGCAAGUCUUAGAAUCAACUUUAAGUGGAACUUUUUGGAAUGGGUUUGUUUUAUCUGAAUACUAUUUAUCCCUAUUUUCAGGUCAUAUAUUGGACUGCAGAGGUCCCAGUACAGAUCCAUUUUUUUAUCAAUGGAUGGACUUUCCUCUCUCUCACUGUUUUGUAAAUUGUGAAGCAAAAAACAGAAAGCCAGGCAUCGGUACCAGGACAUUUCAUUCUGGAACACUACAGAAACAGCCUCCCACACAAUAAAUCAUGGGAGAACUGAAUGCAAGGUCUCUGAGGCAAUUUCCCUGGACAGCAACAAUCUCUCUGUUCCAUUUGGAAAACAUGAAAAAACUUCACAAGUCAAGGAAAAAAUCAAGUAGGAACAGACAGAACAUAUGCUGUUAAAUGUGGGAGGGUGGAGAGAGUACUUCCUUUGGCCCAUACGAGGAGGAAAGAGCUGAGUAGCAGGGCCGAUGGAAUACAGGACUCAUCCAACUUGGUACAUGCAGAUAAGACACUGCAAGACCUCAGACUACCUGGCUGAGGGAGAACAGUCAGCCAGCAAGAAGUACCAAGUGAUGGGAAAGGAAAAUUUGGCAAUGGUCAGGGAAGAUUCUACUUGCAAAAGAAAAAGAAAAGUCUCCUUUGGAUUAUGACAGCCAGGUCAUGGCUGAUUUACAGACAGCAGCAAAAAAGCCAUCUGAAGGCCAGUCCAACCAACUCUGCAGACCUCAGUGCUGUGACUUGGCACAGCAAGCCCAUGCCAUAGGUAUACAAGAUUUAUAACAAACUGGAAAUACCCAGCAUCUGCUCAGCAAUAACAAGAUCAGCAGCCAUAUGUGAUUUGAAGCCAAGGCCUAAAGAAGCCCCACCUUUCUCCCCCCAAACAGGUUUUACAAACUCUGUUUCCAAAGGAGAGGGAUUUUACAAUGACAACAACAGCAGGAAUGAGGAUAUAACUAAGCAAAGAGAUUGGACAACUGAGAAUAUAAUUCGCAAUAAAAGAGCUUAUGAGCUACUUCCAAUGGCAUUUACAGAAUCUCCGCUCAGGGAUUCUUACACUGAUGUCAAUUCACAGAUCAUACACUACAGACAAACUCCCCUUAAAAAGUUUGCAUAUACAGAUGUUUUAAAAUACUUACUGACAUAGUUUCAGGCUACACUUUUAUAAUCAGGUGUAAUUGUCAAUAUUUGUCGAUUUAAGGAUUCUGGCAGAAGACAACAAAGCAUUCCCUCUAGGAAGUUGGAGUCUUCAUAGUGGAAAAGAUCAUGGCAGUAAUCCAAAGCUGGUACUAACAUUUCACCCUUCCCACACUGGCAUUUUAUUCAUCUGAAAGCUGACCAAGCUGUAAUUGCUGGAGCUUUCAGCAGCCGUGUCAUCUAGCCACACUCACACAGAAGAGGGCAGUUAGUUCUUGUUACACAAGUCUGGGAUUUCAGCUGUACAACUGGGAUCUCAAAGUUGUAGUCUUCCAGUAAUGUUAGGAAUAAAUUAAUCCAAGUGUGUCCUUUUCCUGUAUAUGAUGAUUUAUUGCCCCAUUUACCCACUUGGUUUGCUAAGAAUGACAAUUUUAGGUGGCAUCAGACCCAAUCUGAUGUGUUUAGGCUAUUAAUUUGAAAAGCACACUAAACUUAAACAGUGUAUUUUGUAUGCUCAUGUCAAUUCUGGUUACCCAAAUCAACAUUUCUACUGGCUUUUUUUUAGCUCUUUGGUGUGUUUAUGGCAAAAGCCUUCAAUCCCCAUCCCUCAGAAAACAAAAGAAAAAGCCCUCCAGGAAACUCCAAACAAAACACUCCCACAAACCCAAACUUAAGUGUGGUCUCCCCACAUUCCUUUGUACUGCACAGAACAGAGUUAUGGGCGAAGGAGCGAGUGCUCUGUUUGUUUUACAGAAUCAUAAAUGAACGUGGCUCCAGUGUAACAAGUAGCUGGCUAUCACAGAGAAUACUGCAACUAGACUUGGAGAGAACUCUUUGCUGACAUUACUCAUUUUAACAAAGAUCCUGAGAAAUCAAGUACAAACCCCAUGUUUUGCUGAGUUAUAACAGAAAUACCUCAGAAGUGGCUUAGCAUGAACUACCCUCUCUACCACCAUCACUCAUAUGGCAGAAAAGUGAGAAUUUGUUUUUAUUUAAUAGUCUGAAAAUACUAAGAAGGGAGUUGAUAUGAUUAACGCAGUACUGUGAAAUGUACUGUAGAGAUGCAGCAGUAACUGUGCCCCACAGGAUUUACUUUUACAACCAUGUUCAACAUAUGAAAAUCCCAUCCUUACUCUAACAAUAUGCUGUUGUUUGACUGAGGUGCCUUAGGUCAUAUCGUCAAUCGUGUGUCUGGCUUGUGAAGAAGAUGCAGAGUUCAGAAUUUGUGGCAUUAGUCUGUGCAGUGUUUCUAAGCUGCGGGGCAGGAUCCAAACCUGUUGCAAAUUAUCUCCUGGAGCUGGAAACCAUAAUACCAGAUGAAUGUGCCUAAUGUGUCUGGGUAUUGUAUUAAUAAAGGAGUUUACCCAGGAGGGAAAGGCUAGGCAAAGUCAUUUAGGGAAUUACACUUCAUCCCUUUUUUUGGUACCAUCAUCCCAUUCCCCUACAUGUUUCAUUACCUCCCUCCUU
Long non-coding RNA from Chiroxiphia lanceolata (lance-tailed manakin), 4834 nucleotides. RefSeq lists it as uncharacterized. The record is from RefSeq and is a predicted model, not a curated record. NCBI's taxonomy places the organism in Eukaryota, Metazoa, Chordata, Aves, Passeriformes, Pipridae. The transcript has 6 exons.